RNAcentral lists this ribosomal RNA (547 nucleotides) under Saturnispora silvae. RNAcentral describes it as "partial small subunit ribosomal RNA". It matches the Rfam family "Bacterial small subunit ribosomal RNA", at positions 359 to 950 of the family's 1533-position model. Lineage: Eukaryota; Fungi; Ascomycota; Pichiomycetes; Pichiales; Pichiaceae. The record is from RNAcentral.
GAAUAUUAGUCAAUGAUCGAAGGAUUGAUCUAGUUACUUAGGAAGAUGAAGAUUACAAUAUAAUAUAAUAUACAAUGUAUAAGAUAUAAAAAGUAAUAAUGAAGAAUAUAAAAUCAAUGUAUAUGUGUGAAUAAUGAUGUAAAUAUAUACAGAAGUCUUAACAAAAAUUAGUGCCAGCAGUUGCGGUUAAACUAAGGAGGCGAACGCUAAUCAUUAUGGCUUAAAGGAUCCGUAGAAUGAUUUAUUAAAAUAAUAAAAUAGAGUUAAAUGGGAUGAUCAAUGAAAUAUCAUAUAGAGAGAUGAAAUGUUUGGAAAAUGAUAAGACAGAUAAACGUGAAGAUAUGAUCAAAAAGGUUAACUGACAUUGAGGGAUGAAGGCACUCGUAGCGAACAGGAUUAGAUACCCUAGUAGUUUGUGCAGUAAACGAUGAGUACUAAAUAAAAUAUAAGUGAAAACUAAGUAUUCCGCCAGGAGAGUAUAAUUGCAAAAUCAAAAUCCAAGACAAUAGACGGUUACAGCUGUAGGCAGUGGAUUGUGUUAUUUAAU